Molecule: ribosomal RNA, 497 nt
Filed under: uncultured bacterium
Lineage: Bacteria
Description: partial 16S ribosomal RNA
Rfam family: Bacterial small subunit ribosomal RNA
Source: RNAcentral
GAUGAACGCUGGCGGCGUGCCUAAUACAUGCAAGUCGAGCGAACAGAUGAGGAGCUUGCUCCUCUGACGUUAGCGGCGGACGGGUGAGUAACACGUGGAUAACCUACCUAUAAGACUGGGAUAACUUCGGGAAACCGGAGCUAAUACCGGAUAAUAUAUUGAACCGCAUGGUUCAAUAGUGAAAGACGGUUUUGCUGUCACUUAUAGAUGGAUCCGCGCCGCAUUAGCUAGUUGGUAAGGUAACGGCUUACCAAGGCAACGAUGCGUAGCCGACCUGAGAGGGUGAUCGGCCACACUGGAACUGAGACACGGUCCAGACUCCUACGGGAGGCAGCAGUAGGGAAUCUUCCGCAAUGGGCGAAAGCCUGACGGAGCAACGCCGCGUGAGUGAUGAAGGUCUUCGGUUCGUAAAACUCUGUUAUUGGGGAAGAACAAAUGUGUAAGUAACUAUGCACGUCUUGACGGUACCUAAUCAGAAAGCCACGGCUAACUACGUG